This 382-nucleotide ribosomal RNA is filed under the name uncultured eukaryote. RNAcentral's name for it is "partial 18S ribosomal RNA". It matches the Rfam family "Eukaryotic small subunit ribosomal RNA", at positions 592 to 976 of the family's 1831-position model. The record is from RNAcentral.
UGUAAGCGUAUACCAAAGUUGUUGCAGUUAAAACGCUCGUAGUCGGAAUUUGGCAGUUCCGGAUGUGUGCACGUCGUGUGCGCACUUCGCGGGGAUUGCUUUUGUGGUCUUGCGUAGGAUGAGGCACUUUUGUUAGUGAACGUCCUCACGCAACCACUUUUUACUGUGAGAAAAUCAGAGUGCUCAAAGCAGGCAUUUGCCGUGAAUGUAUUAGCAUGGAAUAAUAGAAUAGGACUUGGUUCUAUUUUGUUGGUUUGUUGGGACUGAGUAAUGAUUAAGAGGGACAGUUGGGGGCAUUUGUAUUUCGGUGCUAGAGGUGAAAUUCUUAGAUUACCGAAAGACAAACUGCUGCGAAAGCGUCUGCCAAGGAUGUUUUCAUUGA